RNAcentral lists this ribosomal RNA (577 nucleotides) under uncultured bacterium. Its description in RNAcentral is "partial 16S ribosomal RNA". It matches the Rfam family "Bacterial small subunit ribosomal RNA", at positions 355 to 932 of the family's 1533-position model. The record is from RNAcentral.
UGGGGAAUUUUGGACAAUGGGGCGAAAGCCUGAUCCAGCAAUGCCGCGUGUGUGAAGAAGGCCUUCGGGUUGUAAAGCACUUUUGUCCGGAAAGAAAUCCUUGGCUCUAAUACAGUCGGGGGAUGACGGUACCGGAAGAAUAAGCACCGGCUAACUACGUGCCAGCAGCCGCGGUAAUACGUAGGGUGCAAGCGUUAAUCGGAAUUACUGGGCGUAAAGCGUGCGCAGGCGGUUUGCUAAGACCGAUGUGAAAUCCCGGGCUCAACCUGGGAACUGCAUUGGUGACUGGCAGGCUAGAGUAUGGCAGAGGGGGGUAGAAUUCCACGUGUAGCAGUGAAAUGCGUAGAGAUGUGGAGGAAUACCGAUGGCGAAGGCAGCCCCCUGGGCCAAUACUGACGCUCAUGCACGAAAGCGUGGGGAGCAAACAGGAUUAGAUACCCUGGUAGUCCACGCCCUAAACGAUGUCAACUAGUUGUUGGGGAUCAUUCCUUAGUAACGUAGCUAACGCGUGAAGUUGACCGCCUGGGGAGUACGGUCGCAAGAUUAAAACUCAAAGGAAUUGACGGGGUCAUAGCUG